RNAcentral lists this ribosomal RNA (395 nucleotides) under uncultured bacterium. RNAcentral describes it as "bacterial SSU rRNA". It matches the Rfam family "Bacterial small subunit ribosomal RNA", at positions 28 to 424 of the family's 1533-position model. The record is from RNAcentral.
GACGAACGCUGGCGGCGUGCUUAACACAUGCAAGUCGAGCGGUAAGGCCCUUUCGGGGGUACACGAGCGGCGAACGGGUGAGUAACACGUGGGUGACCUGCCCUCAGCUCUGGGAUAAGCCUGGGAAAACUGGGUCUAAUACUGGAUAUGACUCCACGGUGCAUGUCGUGGGGUGGAAAGCCUUGUGCGGCUUGAGGAUGGGCCCGCGGCCUAUCAGCUUGUUGGUGGGGUGANGGCCUACCAAGGCGACGACGGGUAGCCGGCCUGAGAGGGCGACCGGCCAUACUGGGACUGAGACACGGCCCAGACUCCUACGGGAGGCAGCAGUGGGGAAUCUUGCGCAAUGGGCGAAAGCCUGACGCAGCGACGCCGCGUGAGGGAUGACGGCCUCGGUU